Molecule: transfer RNA, 87 nt
Filed under: bacterium
Lineage: Bacteria
Description: tRNA-Ser
Rfam family: tRNA
About the family: Transfer RNA (tRNA) molecules are approximately 80 nucleotides in length. Their secondary structure includes four short double-helical elements and three loops (D, anti-codon, and T loops). Further hydrogen bonds mediate the characteristic L-shaped molecular structure. tRNAs have two regions of fundamental functional importance: the anti-codon, which is responsible for specific mRNA codon recognition, and the 3' end, to which the tRNAs corresponding amino acid is attached (by aminoacyl-tRNA synthetases). tRNAs cope with the degeneracy of the genetic code in two manners: having more than one tRNA (with a specific anti-codon) for a particular amino acid; and 'wobble' base-pairing, i.e. permitting non-standard base-pairing at the 3rd anti-codon position.
Source: RNAcentral
GGAGAGGUGACAGAGCGGCCGAUUGUGCAGCACUGGAAAUGCUGUGUCUGGGAAACCAGACCGGGGGUUCGAAUCCCCCCCUCUCCG